Molecule: ribosomal RNA, 253 nt
Filed under: uncultured bacterium
Lineage: Bacteria
Description: partial 16S ribosomal RNA
Rfam family: Bacterial small subunit ribosomal RNA
Source: RNAcentral
UACGGGGGGGGCAAGCGUUGUUCGGAAUUACUGGGCGUAAAGGGCUUGUAGGUGGCCAACUAAGUCAGGGGUGAAAUCCUGGAGCUCAACUCCAGAACUGCCUUUGAUACUGAGGAUCUUGAGUACGGGAGAGGUGAGUGGAACCGCGAGUGUAGAGGUGAAAUUCGUAGAUAUUCGCAAGAACACCAGUGGCGAAGGCGGCUCACUGGCCCGUUACUGACGCUGAGGCACGAAAGCGUGGGGAGCAAACAGG